GUUUGGAAUUCCGGGAUCAGGGUGGGAAUUCCUCACUGAUCCCACCCUCUCCGUACUCCCAGGCCGGUUCCCGGAGGCGCUGGAGCAGCACCGCCAGGAGCUGCGGCUGCUGCGCGGCGCCGGCGACGCCCUCGGCACGGCCGUGGCGCACCGCAAGGUGGGAGAGCGCCUGGCCGAGCUGCAGCGCUUCCCCGAGGCCCUGCAGCACCAGCAGCAGCACCUGCAGGGCGCUCUGCGCCUGGGCUCGGCGGUGGAGCAGCAGCGCGCCUGGGCCACCAUCGGCCGCACCUUCCUGCUCAUGGCCGAGGCACCUCCCUCAUCCCAAAUCCCGGAAUUCCCCGAAUUCCCGCAAUUCCCGGAAUUCCCGGAAUUCCCGCAAUUCCCGGAAAGCCCCGAGGGAGCCCAGGGAACCCCAGGAAAUUCGGGAAUUUUGGGGCAUUGGGCGCUGCGCCGGGCGCUGGCGGCGUUCCAGAACAGCCUGGACAUCGUGGAGACACAGCUGGAAGGCCAGGUGCCCUCCCGUGAGCUGCAGCGGAUGCGGGCGCGGCUGUUCCUGAACCUGGGCCUGGCGCAGGAAUCCCUCGGGAACCUCCAGGAGAGCUCCCGGCUGCUGCGGCACAGCGCACACGUGGCCACGCAGUGCCACUCCCUGGAGGAUCAGGGAUGGGAAUUUUGGGAAUUUCGAUCGGAAUUUCAGGAAUUUGGGAUGGAAAAUUCGGGAAUUUCAAUGGGAAUUUUGGGAAUUUCAAUGGGAAUUUUGGGAAUUU
RNAcentral lists this long non-coding RNA (767 nucleotides) under Taeniopygia guttata (zebra finch). Its description in RNAcentral is "lncRNA (ENSTGUG00000025012.1)". Lineage: Eukaryota; Metazoa; Chordata; Aves; Passeriformes; Estrildidae. The record is from RNAcentral.